AGUGAACGCUGGCGGUAGGCCUAACACAUGCCAGUCGAACGGCAGCACAGUAAGAGCUUGCUCUUACGGGUGGCGAGUGGCGGACGGGUGAGGAAUACAUCGGAAUCUACUUUUUCGUGGGGGAUAACGUAGGGAAACUUACGCUAAUACCGCAUACGACCUACGGGUGAAAGCAGGGGAUCUUCGGACCUUGCGCGAUUGAAUGAGCCGAUGUCGGACUAGCUAAUUGGCGGGGUAAAGGCCCACCAAGGCGACGAUCCGUAGCUGGUCUGAGAGGAUGAUCAGCCACACUGGAACUGAGACACGGUCCAGACUCCUACGGGAGGCAGCAGUGGGGAAUAUUGGACAAUGGGCGCAAGCCUGAUCCAGCCAUACCGCGUGGGUGAAGAAGGCCUUCGGGUUGUAAAGCCCUUUUGUUGGGAAGAAAAGCAGCAGGUUAAUACCCCGCUGUUCUGACGGUACCCAAAGAAUAAGCACCGGCUAACUUCGUG
This 491-nucleotide ribosomal RNA is filed under the name uncultured bacterium. RNAcentral describes it as "partial 16S ribosomal RNA". It matches the Rfam family "Bacterial small subunit ribosomal RNA", at positions 29 to 507 of the family's 1533-position model. The record is from RNAcentral.